This 746-nucleotide small RNA is filed under the name Pongo abelii (Sumatran orangutan). RNAcentral describes it as "processed transcript". The record is from RNAcentral. Lineage: Eukaryota; Metazoa; Chordata; Mammalia; Primates; Hominidae.
GAGAGAGGAUGUGUGCUGGGCCUUGAAGGAAGGGGGCCGAGACCGGGCCUUACUUCUGUAACGAUACUGUGAGGCAUCGGAAGGCCAGCCUGUUGUGUCCGUUUUGAAGAAUGAACGGAGACCAGAAAUCAGAUGUUUAUGCCCAAGAAAAGCAGGAUUUUGUUCAGCACUUCUCCCAGAUCGUUAGGAUGCUGACUGAGGAUGAGAUGGGGCACCCAGAGACAGGAGAUGCUAUUGCCCGGCUCAAGGAGGUCCUGGAGUACAAUGCCAUUGGAGGCAAGUAUCACCGGGGUUUGACGGUGGUAGUAGCAUUCCGGGAGCUGGUGCAGCCAAGGAAACAGGAUGCUGAUAGUCUCCAGCGGGCCCGGACUGUGGGCUGGUGUGUGGAACUGCUGCAAGCUUUCUUCCUGGUGGCAGAUGACAUCAUGGAUUCAUCCCUCACCCGCCGGGGACAGAUCUGCUGGUAUCAGAAGCCAGGCGUGGGUUUGGAUGCCAUCAAUGAUGCUAACCUCCUGGAAGCAUGUAUCUACCGCCUGCUGAAGCUCUAUUGCCGGGAGCAGCCCUAUUACCUGAACCUGAUUGAGCUCUUCCUGCAGAGUUCCUAUCAGACUGAGAUUGGGCAGACUCUGGACCUCAUCACAGCCCCCCAGGGCAAUGUGGAUCUUGUCAGAUUCACUGAAAAGAGGUGAGGGGAGGUGAGGGACAGUGCGAAUCAUGUCUGGACAGUGAGGGAGGGCUCAGGAUGC